This 644-nucleotide ribosomal RNA is filed under the name uncultured Bacteroides sp. Its description in RNAcentral is "bacterial SSU rRNA". It matches the Rfam family "Bacterial small subunit ribosomal RNA", at positions 75 to 715 of the family's 1533-position model. Lineage: Bacteria; Pseudomonadati; Bacteroidota; Bacteroidia; Bacteroidales; Bacteroidaceae. The record is from RNAcentral.
AGUAGCAAUACUUCAGAUGGCGACCGGCGCACGGGUGAGUAACACGUAUCCAACCUGUAGAUGACUCGGGGAUAGCCUUUCGAAAGAAAGAUUAAUCCUUGAUGGUAUAAAGAGUUCGCAUGUUCUCUUUAUUAAAGAAUUUCGGUAAGCGAUGGGGAUGCGUUCCAUUAGAUAGUUGGCGGGGUAACGGCCCACCAAGUCUACGAUGGAUAGGGGUUCUGAGAGGAAGGUCCCCCACAUUGGAACUGAGACACGGUCCAAACUCCUACGGGAGGCAGCAGUGAGGAAUAUUGGUCAAUGGACGAGAGUCUGAACCAGCCAAGUAGCGUGAAGGAUGACUGCCCUAUGGGUUGUAAACUUCUUUUAUAUGGGAAUAAAGUAUUCCACGUGUGGAAUUUUGUAUGUACCAUAUGAAUAAGGAUCGGCUAACUCCGUGCCAGCAGCCGCGGUAAUACGGAGGAUCCGAGCGUUAUCCGGAUUUAUUGGGUUUAAAGGGAGCGUAGGUGGAUUGUUAAGUCAGUUGUGAAAGUUUGCGGCUCAACCGUAAAAUUGCAGUUGAAACUGGCAGUCUUGAGUACAGUAGAGGUGGGCGGAAUUCGUGGUGUAGCGGUGAAAUGCUUAGAUAUCACGAAGAACUCCGAUUG